RNAcentral lists this ribosomal RNA (1466 nucleotides) under uncultured organism. Its description in RNAcentral is "SSU rRNA". It matches the Rfam family "Bacterial small subunit ribosomal RNA". The record is from RNAcentral.
GGUAGGCCUAACACAUGCAAGUCGAACGGCAGCACAGAGGAGCUUGCUCCUUGGGUGGCGAGUGGCGGACGGGUGAGGAAUACAUCGGAAUCUACUCUGUCGUGGGGGAUAACGUAGGGAAACUUACGCUAAUACCGCAUACGACCUACGGGUGAAAGCAGGGGAUCUUCGGACCUUGCGCGAUUGAAUGAGCCGAUGUCGGAUUAGCUAGUUGGCGGGGUAAAGGCCCACCAAGGCGACGAUCCGUAGCUGGUCUGAGAGGAUGAUCAGCCACACUGGAACUGAGACACGGUCCAGACUCCUACGGGAGGCAGCAGUGGGGAAUAUUGGACAAUGGGCGCAAGCCUGAUCCAGCCAUACCGCGUGGGUGAAGACGGCCUUCGGGUUGUAAAGCCCUUUUGUUGGGAAAGAAAUCCAGCCGGCUAAUACCUGGUUGGGAUGACGGUACCCAAAGAAUAAGCACCGGCUAACUUCGUGCCAGCAGCCGCGGUAAUACGAAGGGUGCAAGCGUUACUCGGAAUUACUGGGCGUAAAGCGUGCGUAGGUGGUUAUUUAAGUCCGUUGUGAAAGCCCUGGGCUCAACCUGGGAACUGCAGUGGAUACUGGAUGACUAGAAUGUGGUAGAGGGUAGCGGAAUUCCUGGUGUAGCAGUGAAAUGCGUAGAGAUCAGGAGGAACAUCCAUGGCGAAGGCAGCUACCUGGACCAACAUUGACACUGAGGCACGAAAGCGUGGGGAGCAAACAGGAUUUAGAUACCCUGGUAGUCCACGCCCUAAACGAUGCGAACUGGAUGUUGGGUGCAAUUUUGGCACGCAGUAUCGAAGCUAACGCGUUAAGUUCGCCGCGUGGGGAGUACGGUCGCAAGAGUGAAACUCAAUGGAAUUGACGGGGGCCCGCACAAGCGGUGGAGUAUGUGGUUUAAUUAGAUGCAACGAGAAGAACCUUAACUGGCCUUGACAUGUCGAGAACUUUCCAGAGAUGGAUUGGUGCUUUCGGGAACUCGAACACAGGUGGUGCAUGGCUGUUGUCAGCUCGUGUCGUGAGAUGUUGGGUUAAGUCCCGCAACGAGCGCAACCCUUGUCUUUAGUUGCCAGCAUGUAAUGGUGGGAACUAUAAGGAGACCGCCGGUGACAAACCGGAGGAAGGUGGGGAUGAUGUCAAGUCAUCAUGGCCCUUACGGCCAGGGCUACACACGUACUACAAUGGUAGGGACAGAGGGGUGCAAGCCGGAGACGGUAAGCCAAUCCCAGAAACCCUAUCUCAGUCCGGAUUGGAGUCUGCAACUCGACUCCAUGAAGUGGGAAUCGAUAGUAAUCGCAGAUCAGCAUUGCUGCGGUGAAUAUGUUCCCGGGCCUUGUACACACCGCCCGUCACACCAUGGGAGUUUGUUGCACCAGAAGCAGGUAGCUUAACCUUAGGGAGGGCGCUUGCCACGGUGUGGCCGAUGACUGGGGUGAAGUCAUAAC